RNAcentral lists this ribosomal RNA (2764 nucleotides) under Triticum aestivum (bread wheat). Its description in RNAcentral is "partial small subunit ribosomal RNA". Lineage: Eukaryota; Viridiplantae; Streptophyta; Magnoliopsida; Poales; Poaceae. The record is from RNAcentral.
GCAUAGCUAGGGGAGCUCCUCUUCGGCAGCGGGGGUAGAGGGCGAGGCGGCGGCGGCGGGGGUAGAGGGCGAGGCGGCGGCGGCGGGGGGCGGAAUGGCAUAGAGGGAGGUGGUGGGGGUGCGAAGAGGGGUAGCGGCCUAGGCGAUAGUCUAGCGGUUCCAAUCCGCCGUCUCGAGGUGCAGGCGCUGCGCGAGCACGAGCAGUUCCUUCCCCGAGGGCUAGCUUAGACGCGAGUGCGCCGAACACACGGUACCGGCGGUACCGUAGGUACCGGCUGUUCUCCCCUGGGAGCCGGAGCCGGUACCGGCGGACGAAACCUGUGCCCCAGCGGUGUAGGCUGCGACGGUCGCGGAGCACCUGGCGGUAGUCCUCGAGGUCCAGGCGGCGAUAGCUUGAGAUGCCGGUACCAGUGGUGCAGGUACCAGCUAGUUGACUAGACUAGACUAGUGUUCAAGGUGUCCUUCUUUUAGAUCUUUAAGAACGCGACCUACGUCAUCUGCUUUAACUUACAUGUGCAUGCACCUAGGUUCAGGCUCAACCCUCGCGGUAGCUAGGCUGCUUGCACGUUCCUUAAAGACUUAGGUCCUGAAGAUAAACUCGUAAGAAACACCUGUCCAACUGUUGUCCUCGACUUCAUGCAAACUUGUUUGCAAAAGAAAGUCAAAAGGGUUCUUCUUGUACUCCGACCAUGCUGUCCCCGACCAUGACGUAGAGCAGCCGCCUUCCGCUUUUCUUACCGCCGCCGCCCGUUAUACCCUCUUCUGCCACGGGACGGACUGUUGCCUGAGCUUAAAGAUGACCUAGGCCAACUGUCUCUCCACCAACGCCUGCAACUCCACGGUCUAGGCAACCGCCGCUCCCUGAAUCACCGCUGUCUGUACCGACCGCGGCUAAGGAGUACGCGCCAACACCAACCCGUGGAGCCGCCUCGACGACUCGGGGCCCUAAGACCGCCGUUCUCCUUUGUCAUCAGUUGGGUCAGGCACCUUAGCUGGCCCUUUCACUUGGGCCUCCGCGGGUCCAGCUGGUCUUCCAUUUUUCAUUUUAAUCUCAAGACUUUGAAAGUCUGUCUUACCAAAACUAAAAACGUUCGUGACAGUGUAUGAACACGUACUCGUAUAUACGGACCACGACACUAAUGAGCAAAGUCGACCCAUAGGAGCACUAAAAAGACCAGUAUGAUUACGCUUAACCACAAAGUAUAUAUGCUGAUCGGUUCUUCAAAAAUCUACCUAGUACAGUAUCUACAUGAUCGGUUCUAACAAAAAUCUACCUCACUGCUCACCGUGGACGUCAAGAUUUCCUUUACAAUCCCAUUCUUCCAAAUUAAGUCGUGCGUUUUGUGUAUUGGUAACAUGCUGGUCUGUCAACACCGUGUUGUCUUUUGAUAUCGAUGUUGAAAAGAUAAAUUAAUUUAAAAAUCAACUGCUAUCAUAAUAGAUAAAAUAUUAAAAAUUACAAUAUUCUGAGGUUAGGUUACGUCUCGAAUACGGGCAGUAACCGAACAGAGGGGACCCGACACGUAGGUCGAGGUCGCCCAAGUCGUGCUGACUCCGUCGUCACCCUUCCUUCUAAUAAGCCAUCCUACCGCGACUGUUGUAUAGCCUCUACGCGGUUCGGAACGACGCUGGAUCGAAAGAACACGAACGAGAGGAAGGGGUUGUUGUCUGGUAGUACCGGGAGGGAAAACAACAAGUAGUUACCCCCAGUACAAGUGUAGUCUUGGAAGUAGUCGUGUUAGAAGUACUUAAAAGGUAUAAACAGUAUAGAGAGACUAACAGGUUACGUCUAGUACAACAAUUUUUCACUUUGAAGACCCAACUAAAGUCCAAAUUCCGCAUUUCUGAAAAAAUCCAAGACAAGCACGACCUUUUAAAUACAAGUAACAGCGUGGUUAGUACAACCUUGGCUUAAAUAAAAGUAACAAAGUCAGGUUAAGUAGGAAUCUCCCUUUCACACCCGGAACUUGACUUCCUCUCCGUUUAUACAAAGACAAGUAUCAAUUUAACCAAGAACUAAACUUCUCUAAUAUCUCGGUGCAUUAAAACAUGGGCUCGUGACGGUUGACAGCUGCUAAACAUAACACACAACAAAAUGUCAUGGAUGAACGGUUAUAAUAACACAACAAAGAGGAUUGUUAACAUCUGUACUUAUGUAAAAACUGCUCCACUUCUGUUGUCUCUAACCUCCAUACGCGACCCGAGAAACUGUGUUCGAUCCCUCCUCAUUCGACUGACCUAUUACUCUUUACAACUUCAUCAGGUUCCUCCUUACUGUGACCGACACACACACUACUGGAAUUGAGACUUUUUACUCAAAAAGAAAGAAAGAUUUUAGAUCUCACCUAAUUAAGAUGUUCAUAGGACUCAAAUACUAUACGAAACGUGUAGGUGUAUGCACUGUCGACGUUCAAAUUGGACGAGACUUUAGAGUCUCAAACAAUCUUCUUUGAUAUAACAACUACACCGAGAAAGUGUCAAAAGUAAAGAUUAUUUUACACUUCCACGUUGAUAGGACUUCUUACUAAUACAUUUUUCUUUCAACAUAGUCGUAGCUUCACUUCUUGACCACGCCGUCUCGCGUGGAAAGGAAGAACAUUACUAUGGUACAGGUCACUUACGUUGUGGAUUUUGCAGACGUAUAUUUUAACGUCAAGCACCGGCACGUGGAGAACUAUGUCGUGGAACAGGACCAUCUCAGUCAGGCGACCUUCUUUACUAGUCCUCCAUACGACUAUUCGGGUAGGCUAUUACAUCCUUCGGU